GGAUAUUGAGGUGUUGUGGAGCCCUCAAAGCGAAGGUGACACAAUAUCAAAGCAAGAACUCCGUAGAGAUUUCCCGCACAUGAGCACAUGUUAUGGAAAAGAGAAAAAAAUUCCGCACAAAUGGUCAUUAGAAGAGGCGGGAAUAUAGUUGGAAAAUCAUAUUAGAACCCCAACUUAACUAGAUCAUCCAUUGGGUUGGAUGGAUAUCAUCUAUAUUUUAUUUUAUAUAUUAUUUAUAGCGCUCACAUUUAUAACA
This 256-nucleotide long non-coding RNA is filed under the name Panax ginseng (ginseng). RNAcentral's name for it is "long non-coding RNA (PGIN_LNC016778)". Lineage: Eukaryota; Viridiplantae; Streptophyta; Magnoliopsida; Apiales; Araliaceae. The record is from RNAcentral.